Molecule: ribosomal RNA, 526 nt
Filed under: uncultured bacterium
Lineage: Bacteria
Description: partial 16S ribosomal RNA
Rfam family: Bacterial small subunit ribosomal RNA
Source: RNAcentral
UGGGGAAUAUUGCACAAUGGGCGAAAGCCUGAUGCAGCGACGCCGCGUGAGGGAUGACGGCCUUCGGGUUGUAAACCUCUUUCAGCAGGGAAGAAGCGAAAGUGACGGUACCUGCAGAAGAAGCGCCGGCUAACUACGUGCCAGCAGCCGCGGUAAUACGUAGGGCGCAAGCGUUGUCCGGAAUUAUUGGGCGUAAAGAGCUCGUAGGCGGUUAGUCGCGUCUGCUGUGAAAAUUCGAGGCUCAACCCUCGGGCUUGCAGUGGGUACGGGCUGACUAGAGUGCGGUAGGGGUGACUGGAAUUCCUGGUGUAGCGGUGGAAUGCGCAGAUAUCAGGAGGAACACCGAUGGCGAAGGCAGGUCACUGGGCCGCAACUGACGCUAAGGAGCGAAAGCAUGGGGAGCGAACAGGAUUAGAUACCCUGGUAGUCCAUGCCGUAAACGUUGGGCACUAGGUGUGGGUCCAUUCCACGGAUUCCGUGCCGCAGCAAACGCAUUAAGUGCCCCGCCUGGGGAGUACGGCCGCAA